GGGCGGAUGGCGGAAUUGGUAGACGCGCUAGUCUUAGGAACUAGUGGGGAGACCCAUGGAGGUUCAAGUCCUCUUCCGCCCA
Molecule: transfer RNA, 82 nt
Filed under: Candidatus Omnitrophota bacterium
Lineage: Bacteria; Pseudomonadati; Candidatus Omnitrophota
Description: tRNA-Leu
Rfam family: tRNA
About the family: Transfer RNA (tRNA) molecules are approximately 80 nucleotides in length. Their secondary structure includes four short double-helical elements and three loops (D, anti-codon, and T loops).
Source: RNAcentral